RNAcentral lists this ribosomal RNA (431 nucleotides) under uncultured bacterium. Its description in RNAcentral is "partial 16S ribosomal RNA". It matches the Rfam family "Bacterial small subunit ribosomal RNA", at positions 29 to 506 of the family's 1533-position model. The record is from RNAcentral.
ACGAACGCUGGCGGCAUGCCUAACACAUGCAAGUCGAACGCGACCUUCGGGUCUAGUGGCGCACGGGUGCGUAACGCAUGGGAACCUGCCCUUAGGUUCGGAAUAACUCCCCGAAAGGGGUGCUAAUACCGGAUAAUGUCUUCGGACCAAAGAUUUAUCGCCUUUGGAUGGGCCCGCGUUGGAUUAGCUAGUUGGUAGGGUAAAAGCCUACCAAGGCGACGAUCCAUAGCUGGUCUGAGAGGAUGAUCAGCCACACUGGGACUGAGACACGGCCCAGACUCCUACGGGAGGCAGCAGUGGGGAAUAUUGGACAAUGGGCGAAAGCCUGAUCCAGCAAUGCCGCGUGAGUGAUGAAGGCCUUAGGGUUGUAAAGCUCUUUUACCCGGGAUGAUAAUGACAGUACCGGGAGAAUAAGCUCCGGCUAACUCCGU